AUUGAAACACUGGUUCCUGUAUUAUCACCAACAUUAAGCAACGUUGAGCCUGGUCAGUACCUAGAUGGGUGACUGCCUGGGAACACCAUGUGCCGUAAG
This is a non-coding RNA of Acanthosepion pharaonis, 99 nucleotides long. NCBI's taxonomy places the organism in Eukaryota, Metazoa, Mollusca, Cephalopoda, Sepiida, Sepiidae. The record is from the annotation of a GenBank genome assembly.